GACGAACCGUCCAAACGUUAUUCGGAAUUACUGGGCUUAAAGGGUGCGUAGGCGGCUCUGCAAGUUGGGUGUGAAAUCCCUCGGCUCAACCGAGGAAUGGCGCCCAAAACUGUGGAGCUCGAGGGAGACAGAGGUGAGUGGAACUUGUGGUGGAGCGGUGAAAUGCGUUGAUAUCAGGAGGAACACCGAUGGCGAAGGCAGAUCUCUGGGCCAUUACUGACGCUGAGGAGCGAAAGCAUGGGUAGCGAACAGGAUUAGAUACCCGGGUA
This 269-nucleotide ribosomal RNA is filed under the name uncultured prokaryote. Its description in RNAcentral is "partial 16S ribosomal RNA". It matches the Rfam family "Bacterial small subunit ribosomal RNA", at positions 524 to 792 of the family's 1533-position model. The record is from RNAcentral.